Molecule: ribosomal RNA, 160 nt
Filed under: Cratylia mollis
Lineage: Eukaryota; Viridiplantae; Streptophyta; Magnoliopsida; Fabales; Fabaceae
Description: 5.8S ribosomal RNA
Rfam family: 5.8S ribosomal RNA
About the family: 5.8S ribosomal RNA (5.8S rRNA) is a component of the large subunit of the eukaryotic ribosome. It is transcribed by RNA polymerase I as part of the 45S precursor that also contains 18S and 28S rRNA.
Source: RNAcentral
AACGGAUAUCUCGGCUCUUGCAUCGAUGAAGAACGUAGCAAAAUGCGAUACUUGGUGUGAAUUGCAGAAUCCCGUGAACCAUCGAGUCUUUGAACGCAAGUUGCGCCUGAAACCAUUAGGUUGAGGGCACGUCUGCCUGGGUGUCACACAAUGUUGUCCU